RNAcentral lists this ribosomal RNA (469 nucleotides) under uncultured bacterium. Its description in RNAcentral is "partial 16S ribosomal RNA". It matches the Rfam family "Bacterial small subunit ribosomal RNA", at positions 29 to 506 of the family's 1533-position model. The record is from RNAcentral.
AUGAACGCUGGCGGCGUGUCUUAGGCAUGCAAGUCGAACGCUUCGUGUAGAGUAGCAAUAUUUUGCACGGGGAGUGGCAAACUGGUGCGUAACACCCUGGUAACCUACCCUGAAGUUCGGAACAACUCACCGAAAGGCGAGCUAAUACCGGAUGUGAUCAUCGAACGAUAGUUUGAUGAGGAAAGCCCGCAAGGGCGCUUUAGGAGGGGCCUAGGUUCCAUCAGCUUGUUGGUAGGGUAACGGCCUACCAAGGCUAUGACGGAUAGGGGGGGUGAGAGCGCGACCCCCCUCACUGGGACUGCGACACUGCCCAGACUCCUACGGGAGGCUGCAGUCAAGAAUCUUCCCCAAUGGACGAAAGUCUGAGGGAGCGACGCCGCGUGUAGGAAGAAGCCCUUCGGGGUGUAAACUACUUUUCUAUGGGACGAACACUGACGGUACCAUAGGAAUAAGGGGCUGCUAACUCUGU